AUGCGGCCCUGCAGCGUGAGAACCGCGGCGCGCCCGGUCCGGAAGGCCCCGCUCCUCGAGCAGCCUGGAGCCGCCCGAGCCGGCGCACCCUGCUGCGCUCCCCUGGGCGGGCCGGCAGGCGGCACAGCUGACGGCCGCGGGGCGGGGGCCGGAGCGGCCCGGGCGUGCGGGUGCACGACUCCCUCCCGGGCACACCUGCCCGGGGCCGCGGGAAACGCUUCCUUACCUUCCUGCCGUGCCCACCGCACGAGUGUGCACACAUGCCCCGGGGAGCACCGCGCCCCCGCGCACUGGCCGCCGCCCUGCCCACCUGCCCGGGGACUGGGCGUGCGUGGGCACGCGGGUGCGUGUGCGUGUGCGCGUGCUGCCGGGACCCCGGGACCCGCGCUUUGCAGAGAACCGUCCGCGGCACCCCGACGGUGCUGGAACACAGUGGCCUGCUGCAGGGGGUGCGCGCGGCGGGGCCCUGGCGGCCGGGGCGAGGAGCAGGGCGCGCGCGUGGGUGUGGCAGGGCCACGGUCGGGGGUGGCCCUGCGAGGGGGGCCGCCCCGGAGGCCCUCGCCGAGGGGCUCUCAGGGGCCAGGCCUGCGACAGACUCGGUCCCCGGUCGCCCCGGGGGUUCCCCGCCCCCCUGACCCGACUCCAGCCCCGGAGGCCCCGGAACACGGCGCCCGGCCGACUGCGGCUCAGACUCCCAGGACGGCGCGGCGGGACCUGCAGGGCGCGCGGGACAGGAGCCCGACAGAGCCCUCCGCGGCGCCCCGGGGCCCGGACGCCCUAGGGGCUUCUCCUCGGCCUCCGCCCGGAAGGACGGAGCCCCCAGGCCUCGGGGAAGGCGGCCGCCGGCCUGGCCCAGAUCCCCGGAGCGGCGGGGCCGGAGCCCAGGGACCCGGGCACGUCGGGAAGGCUGGGCCGUGGUUCCCGCGCGCUGGCCCCGCCCCGACGCCCCGGGGAGUCCCCUCAGGUCCCUCAGCGCAUGCGCGGGGCCCCCGCCCCGCCCUCCUGGCCCGCCCCUUCCGCUUCGCUCCGCCAAUCACGAAGCUCUGUUCCUGA
Molecule: long non-coding RNA, 1053 nt
Filed under: Vulpes vulpes (red fox)
Lineage: Eukaryota; Metazoa; Chordata; Mammalia; Carnivora; Canidae
Description: lncRNA (ENSVVUG00000029566.1)
Source: RNAcentral